Molecule: ribosomal RNA, 585 nt
Filed under: uncultured bacterium
Lineage: Bacteria
Description: partial 16S ribosomal RNA
Rfam family: Bacterial small subunit ribosomal RNA
Source: RNAcentral
UGGGGAAUAUUGCACAAUGGGCGCAAGCCUGAUGCAGCCAUGCCGCGUGUGUGAAGAAGGCCUUCGGGUUGUAAAGCACUUUCAGCGAGGAGGAAGGUGGUGAACUUAAUACGUUCAUCAAUUGACGUUACUCGCAGAAGAAGCACCGGCUAACUCCGUGCCAGCAGCCGCGGUAAUACGGAGGGUGCAAGCGUUAAUCGGAAUUACUGGGCGUAAAGCGCACGCAGGCGGUUUGUUAAGUCAGAUGUGAAAUCCCCGGGCUCAACCUGGGAACUGCAUUUGAAACUGGCAAGCUAGAGUCUCGUAGAGGGGGGUAGAAUUCCAGGUGUAGCGGUGAAAUACGUAGAGAUCUGGAGGAAUACCGGUGGCGAAGGCGGCCCCCUGGACGAAGACUGACGCUCAGGUGCGAAAGCGUGGGGAGCAAAACAGGAUUAGAUACCCUGGUAGUCCACGCUGUAAACGAUGUCGAUUUGGAGGUUGUGCCCUUGAGGCGUGGCUUCCGGAGCUAACGCGUUAAAUCGACCGCCUGGGGAGUACGGCCGCAAGGUUAAAACUCAAAUGAAUUGACGGGGUCAUAGCUGUUUU